GAGGGAAAAGCUCAAAUUUAAAAUCUGGCAGUGUUUCACUGUCCGAGUUGUAACCUAGAGAAGUGUAACCUGCGCUGGACCAUGUACAAGUCUCCUGGAAUGGAGUAUCACAGAGGGUGAGAAUCCCGUCUUUGACAUGGACUACCAGUGCAUUGUGGUUGUGCUCUCAACGAGUCGAGUUGUUUGGGAAUGCAGCUCUAAAUGGGUGGUAAAUUCCAUCUAAAGCUAAAUAUUGGCGAGAGACCGAUAGCGAACAAGUACCGUGAGGGAAAGAUGAAAAGAACUUUGGAAAGAGAGUUAAACAGUAUGUGAAAUUGUUGAAAGGGAAACGUUUGAAGUCAGUCAUGUUGGCUAGGGAUCAGCCUGACAAAUUGUUGGGUGUACUUCCUGGUUGACAGGCCAACAUCAGUUUUGACUGCCAGAAAAAGGUGAAGGGAAUGUGGCACCUUUUGGUGUGUUAUAGCCCUUUGUCGUAUGUGGUGGUUGGGACUGAGGAAAGCAGUGUGCCAAAAGGCAGGGCUUCGACCACAUUCACACUGAGGAUGUUGGCAUAAUGGCUUUAAGCGACCCGUCUUGAAACACGGACCAAGGAGUCUAACAUGCAUGCGAGUGUUUGGGUGGAAAACCCUUACGCGUAAUGAAAGUGAAAGUUGA
Molecule: ribosomal RNA, 654 nt
Filed under: Amanita sp.
Lineage: Eukaryota; Fungi; Basidiomycota; Agaricomycetes; Agaricales; Amanitaceae
Description: LSU rRNA
Rfam family: Eukaryotic large subunit ribosomal RNA
Source: RNAcentral